Molecule: ribosomal RNA, 427 nt
Filed under: uncultured bacterium
Lineage: Bacteria
Description: bacterial SSU rRNA
Rfam family: Bacterial small subunit ribosomal RNA
Source: RNAcentral
AUUGAACGCUGGCGGCAUGCUUUACACAUGCAAGUCGAACGGCAGCACGGGGGCUUGCUCCUGGUGGCGAGUGGCGAACGGGUGAGUAAUGCAUCGGAACGUACCCAGUAGUGGGGGAUAGCCCGGCGAAAGCCGGAUUAAUACCGCAUAUUUCCUGAGGGAGAAAGCGGGGGACCUUCGGGCCUCGCGCUACUGGAGCGGCUGAUGUCGGAUUAGCUAGUUGGUGAGGUAAAGGCUCACCAAGGCGACGAUCCGUAGCUGGUCUGAGAGGAUGAUCAGCCACACUGGGACUGAGACACGGCCCAGACUCCUACGGGAGGCAGCAGUGGGGAAUUUUGGACAAUGGGGGCAACCCUGAUCCAGCCAUGCCGCGUGAGUGAAGAAGGCCUGGUGUAAGACUCUUCUAGUGGAAGAAAUACACUACCCG